ACGUUCAUCCCUUGACGGUAUCUAACCAGAAAGCCACGGCUAACUACGUGCCAGCAGCCGCGGUAAUACGUAGGUGGCAAGCGUUGUCCGGAUUUAUUGGGCGUAAAGCGAGCGCAGGCGGUUUCUUAAGUCUAAUGUGAAAGCCUUCGGCUCAACCGAAGAAGUGCAUUGGAAACUGGGAGACUUGAGUGCAGAAGAGGACAGUGGAACUCCAUGUGUAGCGGUGAAAUGCGUAGAUAUAUGGAAGAACACCAGUGGCGAAGGCGGCUGUCUGGUCUGCAACUGACGCUGAGGCUCGAAAGCAUGGGUAGCGAACAGGAUUAGAUACCCUGGUAGUCCAUGCCGUAAACGAUGAUUACUAAGUGUUGGAGGGUUUCCGCCCUUCAGUGCUGCAGCUAACGCAUUAAGUAAUCCGCCUGGGGAGUACGACCGCAAGGUUG
This 440-nucleotide ribosomal RNA is filed under the name uncultured Pediococcus sp. Its description in RNAcentral is "bacterial SSU rRNA". It matches the Rfam family "Bacterial small subunit ribosomal RNA", at positions 458 to 896 of the family's 1533-position model. Lineage: Bacteria; Bacillati; Bacillota; Bacilli; Lactobacillales; Lactobacillaceae. The record is from RNAcentral.